UCAGUGGGAAAGGGAAUGGAGGUCCAUGACCUCAGAUGAACAUCCUGAUAAUGUCCACCGUCCUGUCUGAAGUAACAGCUUUCUUGUGAAAAAAUGCAAAUGGCAUGCACAUGAACUGAUGUUUUCCAGAAGGCUAGGUGCAUGGCAUGGCUUGUAUCAUGCAUGUACACUCUGUAUGCAGGAUAUUGCAGAUUAACAGAGGGGUAGCUAGCUCAUGUCCUGCCAGACCUCCGUUUUUGCAUUGACUGUAUAGAAAGAUCUGUGGAACAAAUUCAUGAAAGAUGAUGUUUGCGAGACUUUUAGAAGUAAAAGUCUAAGGAAUGUAGCCAUGCACAUGCCAAUGAAGUUGUGGACACUUCUAGGAUUAGCUGAAAGCAUUAGCUGAUAUCAGCAGUAGGCAGCCCUGCAGAGUUGGCCCUGUAUCCAAAGCAGUUCUAGUCUGGGCAUGAGAUACCUCUUCUUUGACAAGAGCAAAUAUCUACUUCCUGUGCCAUACUACAGAUAUAUUAAAUAUCUAACAAUGCAGUAGCCCUUUGUUCCUGUUCUACAGAAAUGGAUGCUUAUUUUGGUCUCUGUACUAACUUAUUGGAUGAGCAUACAUAAACAAUGAGCAAAUCAAUGACAACAGGAGCAGUAAUUCAAGGCAACGCAAAGGAAUUAAAGGUAAUGCAAUUCUAAGGUAUAUGCAUGGCAAAUAAACCAGUCUCUGAGAUUUGUGGACCAAAUAGGGUGCCUGUGCUGCACAGACUCCUGCUUCACCCACUAGCACAACUUGGGACGUGUGGAAUUUGGUCCAGUAUAAGCCGGCACUAAUGAAAUCCCCUGCUGUACCACAUAAUAAACAAGAGAGGUGUUGACUG
Oxyura jamaicensis (ruddy duck) is the source of this 860-nucleotide long non-coding RNA. RefSeq lists it as uncharacterized. The transcript is spliced from 2 exons. The record is from RefSeq and is a predicted model, not a curated record. NCBI's taxonomy places the organism in Eukaryota, Metazoa, Chordata, Aves, Anseriformes, Anatidae.